AGCCUAGUUUGAAAAGGAAAAGGAGUAACCAAAGGUCGCAGAAUUCAUCAACACUAUACAAAAUGCUAAAAAAAGUACUCAAUGGUGCUGAGGACUCACGGAAGAUAAUACUAGAGGCCCUAAGCCUAAUGAAAGAAGAGGGAUGGCCAGUAAGGAGGAUAGCGUUGAUGAAGAUGACGAGGGUAUGGUCACGGCUAGAAGCCAUGUUUAAAUACAAGG
Dreissena polymorpha is the source of this 219-nucleotide long non-coding RNA. RefSeq lists it as uncharacterized. The transcript is spliced from 4 exons. Lineage: Eukaryota; Metazoa; Mollusca; Bivalvia; Myida; Dreissenidae. The record is from RefSeq and is a predicted model, not a curated record.